CCCUUAGAUGUCCUGGGCUGCACGCGCGCUACACUGAUGUGUCCAGUAAGCACCUAACCUAUUCCGAGAGGAGCGGGUAACCUUAGCAAAGCACAUCGUGAUGGGGAUAGAUUAUUGCAAUUAUUAGUCUUGAACGAGGAAUUCCUAGUAAGCACAAGUCAUCAGCCUGUGUUGAUUACGUCCCUGCCCUUUGUACACACCGCCCGUCGCUCCUACCGAUUGAAUGUUCCGGUGAGCUCUUCGGACUGCGCGGUCUGCAGUUUCUGCGUUCCGUGCGGAAAGUUGUGCAAACCUUAACAUUUAGAGGAAGGAGAAGUCGUAACA
RNAcentral lists this ribosomal RNA (324 nucleotides) under uncultured eukaryote. RNAcentral describes it as "partial 18S ribosomal RNA". It matches the Rfam family "Eukaryotic small subunit ribosomal RNA", at positions 1470 to 1796 of the family's 1831-position model. The record is from RNAcentral.